Molecule: ribosomal RNA, 253 nt
Filed under: uncultured bacterium
Lineage: Bacteria
Description: partial 16S ribosomal RNA
Rfam family: Bacterial small subunit ribosomal RNA
Source: RNAcentral
UACGUAGGGUGCGAGCGUUGUCCGGAAUUAUUGGACGUAAAGGGCGCGUAGGCGGCUUGGCAAGUGGAAGGUGAAAUCCCUCGGCUUAACCGAGGAACUGCCCUCCAAACUGCUUCGCUUGAGACCGGGAGAGGUGAGUGGAAUUCCCAGUGUAGCGGUGAAAUGCGUAGAUAUUGGGAGGAACACCAGUGGCGAAGGCGGCUCACUGGACCGGAACUGACGCUGAGGCGCGAAAGCGUGGGGAGCAAACGGG